CCGCCAUAUUGAAGUGGCUCUUCUGCACGAAUGUGAGGUUGGAUUGUGCGACAAUUAUUCCCAGUGAGGGCGGGACAAGGACAACGACACCGAAGCAAGAUGGCGGCGCAAGUAAAGCAAAUGUGGAACUCUCUGUCCAGUGCUAGUGGUUCACACAAGGAUAUUACGGGGAAGUAUCGCGAAAUUCUAGAAAAGGUUUUCAAAUUCCAAGAGCCUGCUCUUACGGAAGGCCUUAAAACGUUUAUCGAGGCUGGUAAGUUCGUAACACGUUUACCUUAGUUUGCAACUUUGCAUGACCACUGAGACGAGAAAA
Molecule: long non-coding RNA, 313 nt
Organism: Orbicella faveolata
Lineage: Eukaryota; Metazoa; Cnidaria; Anthozoa; Scleractinia; Merulinidae
Source: RefSeq, a predicted model, not a curated record